This 378-nucleotide ribosomal RNA is filed under the name uncultured bacterium Px12-DGGE band c. Its description in RNAcentral is "bacterial SSU rRNA". It matches the Rfam family "Bacterial small subunit ribosomal RNA", at positions 997 to 1372 of the family's 1533-position model. The record is from RNAcentral.
CCCGCUGAAAGGUGGGGGUGCUCGAAAGAGAACCGGAACACAGGUGCUGCAUGGCUGUCGUCAGCUCGUGUCGUGAGAUGUUGGGUUAAGUCCCGCAACGAGCGCAACCCUCGUCUUCAGUUGCCAUCGGUAGGGCCGGGCACUCUGAAGAAACUGCCGGUGACAAGCCGGAGGAAGGUGGGGAUGACGUCAAAUCAUCAUGCCCCUUAUGUCUUGGGCUUCACGCAUGCUACAAUGGCCGGUACAAAGGGCUGCGAUACCGUGAGGUGGAGCGAAUCCCAAAAAACCGGUCUCAGUUCGGAUUGGGGUCUGCAACUCGACCCCAUGAAGUCGGAGUCGNUAGUAAUCGCAGAUCAGCAACGCUGCGGUGAAUACGUY